ACAAAUACACAAGGAAAGCUCCAUGGAAGAUAAAGGCAGAGAUUUACAAGCCAAGGAAUGUCAAAGACGGCCAGCACACCACCAGAAGCUAGCAGAGAGGUAUGGAACAGAUUCUUCUUCACAACCUCAGAGGGAAAACCCUGCUGAUACCUGGAUUUCAAACUCCUGGCCUCCAGAACGAGACGGGGUUUUACCACGUUAGCCGGGCUGGUCUUGAACUCCUGACCUCAGGUGAUCCACCCGCCUCGAUCGCCCAUUAUUAACAAUCAAAUGGCUGUUCUUCAUGGUACUGGUACAAAAACAGAUAUAUACACCAAUGGAACAGAACAGAGGCCUCAGAAACAACACCACACAUCUACAACCAUCUGAUCUUUGACAAACCUGACAAAAACAAGCAAUGAAGAAAGGAUUCCCUAUUUAAUAAAUGGUGUUGGGAAAACUGGCUAGCCAUAUGCAGAAAACUGAAACUGGACCCCUUCCUUACACCUUAUACAAAAAUUAACUCAAGAUGGACUAAAGAUUUAAACAUAAGACCUAAAACAAUAAAAACCCUAGAAGAAAACCUAGGCAUUACCAUUCAGGACAUAGACAUGGGCAAAGACUUAAUGACUAAAACACCAAAAGCAAUGGCAACAAAAGCCAAAACUGACAAAUGAGAUCUAAUUAAACUAAAGAGCUCCUGCAUAGCAAAAGAAACUAUCAUCAGAGUGAACAGGCAACCUACAGAAUGGAAGAAAAUUUUUGCAAUCUAUCCAUCUAACAAAGGGCUAAUAUCCAGAAUCUACAAGGAACUUAAACAAAUUUACAAGAAAAAACAACCCCAUCAAAAAGUGGGCAAAGGAUAUGAACAGACACUUUUCAAAAGAAGACAUUUAUGCAGCCAACAAACAUGAAAAAAAGCUCAUCAUCACGUCAUUAGAGAAAUGCAAAUCAAAACCACAAUGAGAUACCAUCUCACGCCAGUUAGAAUGGCGAUCAUUAAAAUGUCAGGAAACAACAGAUGCUGGAGAGGAUGUGGAGAAAUAGGAAUGCUUUUACACUGCUGGUGGGACUGUAAACUAGUUCAACCAUUGUGGAAGAGAGUGUGGCAGUUCCUCAAGGAUCUAGAACUAGAAAUACCAUUUGACCCAGAAAUCCCAUUACUGGGUAUAUACCAUAAGGAUUAUAAACGAUUCUACUAUAAAGACACACGCACAAGUAUGUUUAUUGCAGCACUAUUCACAAUAGCAAAUAAUUGGAACCAACCGAAAUGCCCAUCAAUGAUAGACUAGAUAAAGAAAAUGUGGUACAUAUACACCAUGGAAUACUAUGUAGCCACAAAAAAGAGUGAGUUUAUGUCCUUUGCAGGGACAUUGAUGAAGCUGGAAGCCAUCAUUCUCAGCAAACUAACACAAGAACAGAAAACCAAACACUGCAUGUUCUCACUCGUAAGUGGGAAUUGAAUAAUGAGAACAUAUGGGCACAGGGAAGGGAACAUCAUACACUGGGGCCUGUCGGGGAGUGGGGGGCACUCUAUCAUUAGGAGAAUUACCUAAUGGAGAUGACGGGUUGAGGGGUGCAGCAAACCACCAUGGCACAUGUAUACCUAUGUAACAAACCUGCACGUUCUGCAUACGUAUCCCAGAACUUAAAGUAUAAUAAAAUAAAUAAAUCAAUAAAUAAAUACAUAAAUAAUAAAAAUCGCUGUUCUUAACAACUGGCUUGCAAAAUUUGACUCUAGCAAGCAAGAAGAUGUGGGCUCUGGCAUGCUACUGCAUGAAGGCAAGAGGAAAACAUUAGGAGCCAAUUUUAGCAUAAUAUUUUGAAGUUGCUGCUUCCAUUGGAGUCACUGUGGCUGCUGGCAACAUGCUGGAGAGGUGG
This 1860-nucleotide long non-coding RNA is filed under the name Homo sapiens (human). RNAcentral's name for it is "HSALNT0352628". The record is from RNAcentral. Lineage: Eukaryota; Metazoa; Chordata; Mammalia; Primates; Hominidae.